GUUGUUGCCUGUGAAUGGUAAAGUUGUUGCAAAAAUGGUAAAUGUGUUGCUUUUUUUACCGAUUUGGUAAAGUUGUUGCCCAAAGCAACAACUUUCCAUAUGAAAAUUGGUAAAUGUGUUGUCAUCACCAUUGACAAUACACACGAGCCUGCUCCUGCGUGUAUUAUCGCAUAGACUUUAAAAGAGACUACCAAGGCGCUUGAUGGAUGCGCAUGCUGCAUGCAUGAAGUCCUACAUAUAUACAUGUAUGUACAGUUUGACAGAAUGAUGGUGUUAUGGAUGAAUGAGAUGAGAAUUACGAAUGGAGGUGCUCCCAGUGAUUCCAGAGCUGUUCUUCCAAGAGAGUGUCAACUAGCACUGAGCCUGGAUGUAAGGAUGUUCCUUCUGGAUCAAGAAGCGAUUUGAUUGUGGAGCCUGGAUGUAAGGAUGUUCCUUCUGGAUCAAGAAGCGAUUUGAUUGUGGAGCCUGGAUGUAAGGAUGUUCCUUCUGGAUCAAGAAGCGAUUUGAUUGUGGAGCCUGGAUGUAAGGAUGUUCCUUCUGGAUCAAGAAGCGAUUUGAUUGUGCUUACUGUUGUACAAAGUUGGCAACCGAGUAUUGGGGAAGCAGUUGUGCACACAACGUGUCAGCGUAGACUCCUCUAACCAGAUGGAGAGCAGACAAUGAUCAAGCUCAUUUUACAGGCUGCCCUUUCAAAUGCGUCCAAGAUGAAUAAAAGGCCAUUUCGAGCAUUGACCAAUGCUGUGUAUGACCCGAUGUCUAGGAAAGGACCCCUAGGAUGCUCAGCGAAGGCUUUCUACAAACAAUUAAUCAUGUAACACUAAGGAAUCUGUCGCUUGUCAACAAAAUAAAAUGGCAUUGUAUUUUCAUCUGUUCGCCUGUUCAAUGCAGGGACCUAUU
RNAcentral lists this long non-coding RNA (897 nucleotides) under Strongylocentrotus purpuratus (purple sea urchin). RNAcentral describes it as "uncharacterized LOC115925562, transcript variant X1". The record is from RNAcentral. Lineage: Eukaryota; Metazoa; Echinodermata; Echinoidea; Camarodonta; Strongylocentrotidae.